AUGUCCACUGCCAGUGAGGACAGACUGAUCUGAGACAUCCACACGGCCUGCUAACCACCAUUCUUGGAAACUUUAAGCAGCAGUUAGGCUUUAGGCUCCAGUUUUCAGCAACCUUGUAACAGAAAAAAAUGAAUUCAUUUCAUCGAUUGAGUAGAUGGAUAAACAUGAUGGGCAGCAUAUUAAUAAUUCUUGCAGGAUUCAGAUUGUUUGUACUGCCUGUGCACGGAUCCCAGGAGUUUAACUAUCAUUACGUAAAAGAACCGAUGAACUGGACAAAUGCACAGGCUUACUGCAAGAGUAACUUCACUGACUUGGUGACUAUUGCAGAUGAGAAAGAACUUCAGGAAAUUCUGAACAAUCUUACAAGAGAAAAUGUCUCUGAUGCAGAAAUCUGGAUUGGUCUAAAAGAUAUAAAUAUGAAUAAUGGAACUUGGAGCAACGGUGAAACAUCUACCUAUCGAAAGUGGAAUGCUGGGGAACCAAACAAUAGAAUGUUAGCCUGUGGCAGCAUGUACUACCACAGAAAUGAAGUAAACCACAAUGGCACCUGGAAUGACUGUGGCUGUCAAAACCCUCAGUCAUUCAUCUGCUAUGCAGUAAAAAGAAAGUUCCAUGCAGUGAACACCAGUAUGUCUUGGCUCUCAGCUCUUGAGCACUGCAAUUCCAAUUACAAUGGCAUGGCCACCAUCCGAAAUGAAAGAGAAGAGUGGCAUUUGCUGAAGUCCAUCAAUGAAACCAACAUACAGGAGAAAGUGUGGAUUGGGAUGAGGAGCUCCAGGGUCUUUGGAUUCUGGUUCUGGAUGAACGAUGACCCGGUCACUUACGAAAACUGGGUAAAUGACUCCUCAGUGACCCUUCAAGAUAACAGGCACUGUGCCAUCCUGGAUCUAAAUCAGACGGAAGUGGGUCAAGCAGGACUGUGCAGGACCAGCCCAAUUUGUCUGCUACAGAGGUGAGUAAGUGGAUGAUGUGAAUGAUAGCACAUUCUUAGAAGGCAUGAAACCCAUUUUUGAAAUGCACACAAUGUCUACACAAGCUUCUAAAUUUAGCCUCAGAGUGCACUGACCAGCCAUCAUGGCAAUUCUGCUGAUGAAGUUUGGAGGUAUAAUCUGCCCCUGCAUACUGCACAGCUUUGCUCAGGGCGCUUGUACCUGUGGUUCUCCUACACAUCUACAGUGAAAAAAUGAAUCAUCAAAGAGCUACUUAACAUGACUCAAGUCUCCUCAUGUGGUGUCUAUUCUAUAUUCAGGAAUUAGAAGCAUAAAGACCUAAAUCUUAAUAAAUAACAAAUAGACUGAAACAUCCAACAAACCUCCCCUGCUAAUUUCACUCUUCACUGGCUUCCCUUCUCUCCUGGUGCAAUAUAUUCAUGAAAGUUACAUUUUGUUCUCGAAAUUCAUUCACCUUUAAAAUCCCUCAAAUCUUUACUUUUCUGCACCAAAAUGGGUCUCUCCUCUGAUUCAUUUUGCCACCUUUGACAUUUUCAAGUCCAGUUUAGUUCAGUUCAAUCUGAUUUUUAUUUGUAUAGCGCUCUUCACUGACUGAAGAUUCAGAGCACUGAAACAAGUUAACAGAUAACAUAACAGUGCAAAUGUUACAAGCUGCAUAAUGAACAUACAUAAAAAUACAGAAGGAGUUAAAAUGCAGUAAAACAAAGCAACUUCAAAUAGAUUAACAUUAACAUGUCCAAACCUUACAACUCCAUUAAUGUUAUCAUUGAGAAAUGUCCAGCUGACAACAGAGGAGAUGAACAAAAACUUCAGCCAGCAACAUCCAUGGAGAAAAUGAACUACAUGGGAUUAACAGACAGUUAUAACAGAGAAAGUCUGCCACAGUCACAGUCCUGGCUGCCCGUUUCCUCCUGUUGUGGUGUGAAAUUUAGCAUAUAAGUUGAUAAA
This is an RNA transcript of Polypterus senegalus (gray bichir), 1898 nucleotides long. It is a transcript of the gene named L-selectin-like, with no coding region annotated. The transcript has 5 exons. The record is from RefSeq and is a predicted model, not a curated record. Lineage: Eukaryota; Metazoa; Chordata; Cladistia; Polypteriformes; Polypteridae.